GUGGUUGUGGCUCAGUGGUAGAGUGCUUGCCUAGCAUGUGUGAAGCAUUGGGUUCAAUCCUCAGAACCACA
Molecule: non-coding RNA, 71 nt
Organism: Ictidomys tridecemlineatus (thirteen-lined ground squirrel)
Lineage: Eukaryota; Metazoa; Chordata; Mammalia; Rodentia; Sciuridae
Source: Rfam